CGACCGGCGCACGAGUGAGUAACACGUAUCCAACCUGCCGAUGACUCGGGGAUAGCCUUUCGAAAGAAAGAUUAAUACCCGAUGGCAUAGUUCUUCCGCAUGGUAGAACUAUUAAAGAAUUUCGGUCAUCGAUGGGGAUGCGUUCCAUUAGGUUGUUGGCGGGGUAACGGCCCACCAAGCCUUCGAUGGAUAGGGGUUCUGAGAGGAAGGUCCCCCACAUUGGAACUGAGACACGGUCCAA
Molecule: ribosomal RNA, 241 nt
Filed under: uncultured bacterium
Lineage: Bacteria
Description: partial 16S ribosomal RNA
Rfam family: Bacterial small subunit ribosomal RNA
Source: RNAcentral